RNAcentral lists this transfer RNA (66 nucleotides) under Tupaia montana (Mountain treeshrew). Its description in RNAcentral is "tRNA-Arg". It matches the Rfam family "tRNA". From Rfam's summary of the family: Transfer RNA (tRNA) molecules are approximately 80 nucleotides in length. Their secondary structure includes four short double-helical elements and three loops (D, anti-codon, and T loops). The record is from RNAcentral. Lineage: Eukaryota; Metazoa; Chordata; Mammalia; Scandentia; Tupaiidae.
UAGUGAUUAGUUUAAUAAAAACAAAUGAUUUCGACUCAUUAGACUAUGGUUGACCAUAAUCACUAA